UAAUUUUUAUCGCCGGAUAAAAAUUUGAGCGUCACACUUCCCAUCGCAGGCCUUUGAAGAUGGGAAGCAUGGCGCUCUUUUAUU
RNAcentral lists this non-coding RNA (84 nucleotides) under unclassified sequences. The record is from RNAcentral.